This 1808-nucleotide unclassified non-coding RNA is filed under the name Hevea brasiliensis (rubber tree). Lineage: Eukaryota; Viridiplantae; Streptophyta; Magnoliopsida; Malpighiales; Euphorbiaceae. The record is from RNAcentral.
AAUACUUGAAACAUAACUAUGUAGGAAAAGGAGAAUAAUUUACACAUCAUUAGGAUCUUCAGAGUAGUUGUUGGGCCAGCGAGGUAGUGAUAGAUAACAAGAUCAGUCCCUCAUUGCCAUAUUCACCUGUGACCAGUAACCCUUUAACCAGAGGAUCCAGAAAUAACGGAUUCUAUCAAUUGUGCAAUCCUGGAGUCAGUAUGAUCACAGUUGAUAUGGCCCUAUCAAACAAUACAAACAUCCAUACCCAGCAAAAGGAUUACAAUUACUUUGCAUUCAAAGAUUCAAAGACGAUGGGACUUAUUGGACUAGUAAUUCAUAAUCAUAUCCCUGGGUUUGGAUUCUACAGAACUAGAGCCCAAAUACUUCUUAAGUCCCCUUUCCUUCAUUAAUUCCCUUACUAGUGCAGCAUCGGUCCAUCUCCCCAUCUCUGAGUACAAGUUAGAGAGAACUACAUAAUAAGCACUAUUCCCUGGUUCCAGUUCAACAAGUUUCUUAGCCACAAAUUCACUUAAUUCCAAGUUUCUCUGAGCCCUACAGACAGCCAGCAAUGAUCCCCACAUAGGUAUUGUAGGCUCAAAAGGCAUUUCUCUGAUGAAUUUGAAAGCCUCAUCAAGAUGCCCAGCUCGUGCAAAGAGGUCAACCAUACAUGCAUAAUGCUUAGCAUUAGGUGAAAAUCCAUACUUCCCAUUGAUCAAUGAACUAAAUAUUCGUUGGCCCAUAUCAACCAUCCCCGCAUGGCUGCAAGCACUAAGCACAUUCACCAAAGUGACUUCAUCUGGGUUUAGUCCUUCUUCCUCCAUCCUAUUCAACAACAGAACAGCCUCCUGCCCACAUUUAGCAAAAGCUAGUCCUUUAAUAACAGCAUUCCAAGUAAAAAUGUUCCUCUCUUUCAUGCUUCUAAACACAUCCAAACCUUCAUCAAUUCUCCCGCAUUUCAUAUACAUAUCAAUCAAAGAAGUCCCUAAAAUCACAUCUAUCUCCCACCUUUUCCUCCUUAUAAAAUCAUGUAUCCAAAUACCCAUUUCAAUGGCCCCAAAACUCGCACAGGCACCCAACACAUUCACCAUGGUAACAUGAUUAGGCACUAAACCCGCAUAUUGCAUCUGCUCAAAAGCAAUCAACGCAUCAUCAUAGUUCCCAGCACUCCUAUACCCCAUAAUCAAAAUAGUCCACGAGACAACAUCUUUGUCAGGCAUUUCAUCAAACAGUUGCCGACACAAUCCCAUAUGGCCACAUGAAGCAUAGACAUUUAGCAAAGAGUUCUGGACAUAAAUAUCAUUUAAAUGACCAAACUUUACAACAUGGGUAUGUACGGAUCGGGCUUGCUUGAAAUCCUUGAAGUCAGACAAGGACUUGAGAAGAAAAGGAAAGGUGUAGUUGUUAGGAAGAAUGGAGUUGUUAUGCAUGUAGGAAUAUAUUGAAUAAGGAAUAUAAGGAGCUUCAGAGUGGGAGAAGGCCCUUAUAAGGUUAUUGCAAAUGAAAACAUGAGGUUUAGGGAGGUGCGCGAAGAAGAAGAGAGGGAGAGAGGAGUGCAAGAGGGAUAGAUUCUGGCAGGCAGUGAUGAAAUGAUGGGCAACAGUGGUGUUAGAGUGGAGUUUAUUUAGUAUGAGUUGGGCUUGGAUUUGGUGGAUAUGAGUCUGAGAAAUGCACAUUUGUAGAAGACGAAUGAUUCUUUCUGCUGUGACGCUGAGCUGAGAGUUAGGCAUCAUCAUUGGAUAUUUGGAUGAGAAAAGGCUUUGUGUUCAUAGAAAAGCUGCAAGCCCGCAAUUGACAUAUAGCAAAACUUCUGCAAGCCUGCAAUUGAC